UACAGAGGGUGCGAGCGUUAAUCGGAAUUACUGGGCGUAAAGCGUGCGUAGACGGUUAUGUAAGUCGGGUGUGAAAGCCCCGGGCUCAACCUGGGAAUUGCAUUCGAGACUGCAUAGCUAGGAUGCGGAAGAGGGAAGCGGAAUUUCCGGUGUAGCGGUGAAAUGCGUAGAUAUCGGAAGGAACAUCAGUUGCGAAGGCGGCUCUCUGGACCAGCACUGACACUGUGGCACGAAAGCGUGGGGAGCAAACAGG
Molecule: ribosomal RNA, 253 nt
Filed under: uncultured bacterium
Lineage: Bacteria
Description: partial 16S ribosomal RNA
Rfam family: Bacterial small subunit ribosomal RNA
Source: RNAcentral